RNAcentral lists this non-coding RNA (87 nucleotides) under Acinetobacter gerneri. RNAcentral describes it as "Glycine sequence". It matches the Rfam family "Glycine riboswitch aptamer". Rfam says of the family: This family represents the bacterial glycine riboswitch. Glycine riboswitches usually consist of two metabolite-binding aptamers domains with similar structures in tandem. Lineage: Bacteria; Pseudomonadati; Pseudomonadota; Gammaproteobacteria; Moraxellales; Moraxellaceae. The record is from RNAcentral. RNAcentral also lists the same sequence under 1 other name.
AAAAUGAAUGCAGGAGAGCAGUGCUAAACACUCGCCGAAGGAGCAACGACCCCGGAAACUCUCAGGCAAAAGGACUGUAUUCAUGAC